AAAGAGGCAAUGCAGCAGUGGGAGGAUGACUGGGAUGAUGAUGAUGUGAGUGAUGACUUCUCACUGCAGCUGAGGAGGGAGCUGGAGAGCAAUUCUGAUAAGAAGGAUAAUCCCAAGGAGGGAGGAGAGCCAAUGCAGACCAAAAACUAGUUACUGCUGAUUCUAGUCAUUCGCCCGUUGUGUUUAUCUCCUACAUUUCCUUAAGCUGCUUACAGUAUAUGGUUGUACUUUUAAUUUCAUAACUUGUCUUUGGUCUGAUGUUU
RNAcentral lists this unclassified non-coding RNA (263 nucleotides) under Hevea brasiliensis (rubber tree). Lineage: Eukaryota; Viridiplantae; Streptophyta; Magnoliopsida; Malpighiales; Euphorbiaceae. The record is from RNAcentral.